RNAcentral lists this ribosomal RNA (887 nucleotides) under Metarhabditis amsactae. RNAcentral's name for it is "partial large subunit ribosomal RNA". Lineage: Eukaryota; Metazoa; Nematoda; Chromadorea; Rhabditida; Rhabditidae. The record is from RNAcentral.
UAACGGCGAGUGAACUGGGAAGAGCUCAUCGUCGAASGACUCUGCGUAAGCAGCUGUUGAAUGUGACGUAUAGGAGUAGCAUUUCUGUGGUAACGCAUGUUCGAAGUUCCUUUGAGUUGGACCAUAAUCCUGAGAGGGUGCAAGACCCGUUUGAACAGCGAUGCUACAGAUACCGUUGCUUCUUGGAGUCGGGUUGCUUGAAAGUGCAGCCUAAAGCUGGUGAUAAACUUCAUCAAAAGCUAAAUAUUACUACGAAUUCGAUAGCAAACAAGUACCGUGAGGGAAAGUUGCAAAGGACUUUGAAAAGAGAGUUCAAGAGAACGUGAAAACACUAAUGUGGAAGCGGAGAGAGUUGUCAAAUCUGGGUUGCUAAGUCUGAUCGGGAGCCCCUCAGGGGAUACCGUAGGAUGGCGCCGCCUAAGAUGCGCUGGUAGCGUCAGAUGUGAUUGCUGACCCGGUAUGUGUUGCCCACUUCGGUGGUGUCUUGCUGCUGGUUAGGUAGUUCAUGUCAGACGUUUAGCUUUGCUUGCAGAGUACCGGUGUUAACGACAAUCACCUCUCCGGCCCGUCUUGAAACACGGACCGAGGAGUGUAACUUGUGCGCGAGUCGGAGGGUGGUAAACCCAACGGCGUAAUUAACGUAAAGGUUGAUUAAUCAACUGACAUGGGAGGCUUCCUUGUGGAGUUGCACCAUGGCCCUGUCUUGGAAGCUUGCUUCUGGGCAGAGGAAGAGCGUACAGGUUGCGACCCGAAAGAUGGUGAACUAUGCUUGAGCAGAACGAAGCCAGAGGAAACUCUGGUGGAAGUUCGUAUCGGUUCUGACGUGCAAAUCGAUCGAUAGACUUGAGUAUAGGGGCGAAAGACUAAUCGAACCAUCUAGUAGUGUU